Molecule: non-coding RNA, 2614 nt
Organism: Callorhinus ursinus (northern fur seal)
Lineage: Eukaryota; Metazoa; Chordata; Mammalia; Carnivora; Otariidae
Source: RefSeq, a predicted model, not a curated record
CCGGCCUCCGUUUUCCCAGCUGUUAAACGAUGGGGGUGGGGACCAGAUGGGGCUAAGGGUCUUCCCAGCUUUGCUCUUCCUCAUCAAAUUGAGCUGCGUGGACUUCUUUAUGGGCUUGGAUUGGCCCCUUUCUCUGUGAAUGGCCUUUCCUGGCCCACCUUCCUAAAGCCGUUUUGAAAUCCUUACCUUGUAUAUCCUGCUACUUUCGAUAUGCAGGUAUCUGUGACAACCAGCUGCCGGGCAGGCACCGUUCUGAGGUGUUGGAGGUGCGGCUGGGGGCCUAGCCGUCCCUGUGCAGCUUACGUUCUCAAGGAGGGAGCUGAUGCGGGCCAAGGAGACAACGAAGCACAAAGCAGAUGAAGCCCAGGCUCUUGUGGAGAUUGUGCACUGACGGGGGACAUGGGAAACCAGCUAACUAACUGAUGUCCGGUAUCAGUUGGCAUGUACCAGUGGAAGCCGGAGCCUUGCUUGGAGGCUGUCACAGCUGUCCAGAGCCUUCUGGAGACUGUCCCAUAACCCUGAGCUGCAGGCCUUCCGGGCCUCGAACCUCAACCAAAGGCGGAAUCCUCAGGGCAUACUGGCUCUUCCUUCUGCCCGUGUCCCUGGCUCUGGGCCGGGCUGUGCUCCCUUCCGAGGACUCAGAGAAGCCAGGCAUCUCCUUGGGUGCUCCCAAGGUCCAAGACGAGGUCUUGCGUCUACUUGCUAAUGCACAGUUUAUUCCUUUUUCAAUUUUCUCUGGUACCUGUGCUUGUCCAGAUGUUUCCGUGGUGUGGUGGGAAGUGAGUUUUAUGGGGAUGCUGGCUGCGUGCCAUUUGGCCUUGCUUGCUUCUAGAGAUUCAGGGGCCUUGGAGCUGGGGCUCCAGCUGCACACAGCUGCCUGCCUUCUUGCAGCGUUUAGCUUUUGAGGCCGGCGGCUUCCUCGGCCCCAAACAUGUGAGUGACCUCAUGACUCUGGCCCUUCAGUGAUCCCCGACAAACUCUUCCAGCACGUAGGUGGAAUUCCUAUUUUUAAUAGCCAAGUUGUUGAGAAAUUGUAGGGCUUCUGCUUCCUUUUGAACAGAAGGUAUAUUUAUACCUUAGCUUCUCUAGAAUCUAGGAAGUCAUCCCGGCCCAGAGGAGGUCAGCAGGUGGCGUGUGGCGUGGGAUCACCCAGGAGACGGCCCCAGUGACGUCACACUCGGCUCACUAGGUCAGCCUGUCCGGUCCUCUCAGUCAGCUGAGCUCCGAGGGGGCCCGCCUGGCCCUGCUCUCUCCUGGGUGUGUGUGGGGGGGUGAGGGUGGACAGGAUCCAGGUCUUGGGGGCUUUCAGUGUCACACUGAGGGAUUUGAACUCUGUCCCUGAGCCUGCAGUGAGUUUUAGUGGAGGAGUAAGCAGAUCAGAUGUGCACUUCCAAGAGGCUGGAGGGAGUGGAUUGGAGCUGCAUUCUGUCAAGUCUUUUAUUUUACAAAGACCCGUGUACAGCCUCCCAGGAUGCCAGGACGCAGUCACUCCAGCCAUGUGCAAUGCAUUCCAGUGUUUUCUAUUCUAUUCUGUUUCAUUUGUUUUUCUAAAAAUACUGUUUGCAACCCUCUGCAUUGAUUUCCCAUCCCCCUGAACGUUUCUGAUCUGCAGUUUGAACAGCGCUGGGUUGGAGGGAGGAAGCCCGGGCAGAGGCUGCUGUCUCUGCCCAGCUGGGAAACUGCGGGGGUGGCAGUGCCAGGCCUGGGGCGGACGGGGCAGCUUCCAUCGGGGCGGGCCUUGGGCCCUGGGGCUGUGCGCAGCGCCUCGAAUCCGGAGGCUCAGCGUACCCCCUUCAGGAACCGUGGAGCAGCCCCUGAAGCAACGAGAGGGGCCCGUGAUGGUGUCGUGUUGGGGAAUCCAAAAGCUGUGCUUUCAUAACUCAGACAUGCUGCGUGGUGUCUGAAAGUCAUUUCAUUAAAUGUCGCAUGGAAUCAAAAUAGAAAUUACAUCUUUGGGACAAAGCCCGUUGAGCCAGGAGCCAGGCAUUCUGAAUUGGACCCAGAAUAGUCUCAUGGAAGCUGGGACCGUGGAUCCAAGGCAACCCUUGUCGACACGGCCAGCUUCUCCCCCAUCCCCCCGGCUCACACUUGAAUCCCCAGAUGUGGCAGGUGGUCCUGGAGCCCAGUCGACUCGCAAGGAUCAAUGCAGCUGGGGUGGGGGGGGGUAGGCAGUGAUGACAGCCCCCCUUCGUCACAUUCCUAGGUAGCCAUGCCAAACUGAAUAGUCAUGUAUCUUAUCCCUGAUCCCCACCUACUUCUGGGAGGUACACUUAUUAUAUUUGAGGAGGCUCAGGGGGGUCAAGGUAGGGGUCUGAAGUCGCAUAGCUGGCAAGAAGCUGGGUUUGAACUCCAGACCAGCUCCCACAGUUACUUUCUCUCCUGCAUCUCCCCUGUUGCUCCUGGUUCUUGCAACUAGCUGACCAAAGUUGAGGGACAUGCCCAGAUGAAAGCUGGGUAGCUGGGGGAGGGGCUUGGGCCUCGGCAUGUUUGAGGCUCCCUGGCAAUCCUGACAUCGCGCUAGCUGGGGACCACUGCUCUGGGAAGGGGCACGAGUGGCCUUUGUAUCUGCCUUCCAUCCCAGCCUCUGCUGGGUGGUGUGUUCAUUCAGCCAGUG